UACGUAGGGUGCGAGCGUUGUCCGGAAUUAUUGGGCGUAAAGAGCUCGUAGGCGGUCUGUCGCGUCGAUCGUGAAAACUUGGGGCUUAACCCUGAGCUUGCGGUCGAUACGGGCAUGACUGGAGUUCGGCAGGGGAGACUGGAAUUCCUGGUGUAGCGGUGAAAUGCGCAGAUAUCAGGAAGAACACCAAUGGCGAAAGCAGCUCUCUGGGACGGUACUGACGCUGAGACGCGAAAGCGUGGGGAGCGAAACAGG
This 255-nucleotide ribosomal RNA is filed under the name uncultured bacterium. RNAcentral's name for it is "partial 16S ribosomal RNA". It matches the Rfam family "Bacterial small subunit ribosomal RNA", at positions 524 to 776 of the family's 1533-position model. The record is from RNAcentral.